UAACCUCUGACGAAAGCCGUGAAUGUUG
Non-coding RNA from Capnocytophaga haemolytica, 28 nucleotides. Lineage: Bacteria; Pseudomonadati; Bacteroidota; Flavobacteriia; Flavobacteriales; Flavobacteriaceae. The record is from Rfam.